GACGUAGGAGGCGAGCGUUGUUCGGAUUCAUUGGGCGUAAAGAGCGCGCAGGCGGCUUGGUAAGUCGGAUGUGAAAUCCCGAGGCUCAACCUCGGGUCUGCAUCCGAUACUGCCCGGCUAGAGGUAGGUAGGGGAGAUCGGAAUUCCUGGUGUAGCGGUGAAAUGCGCAGAUAUCAGGAGGAACACCAGCGGCGAAGGCGGCGCUCUGGGCUGGAACUGACGCUGAGGAGCGAAAGCGUGGGGAGCGAACAGG
RNAcentral lists this ribosomal RNA (253 nucleotides) under uncultured bacterium. RNAcentral describes it as "partial 16S ribosomal RNA". It matches the Rfam family "Bacterial small subunit ribosomal RNA", at positions 524 to 776 of the family's 1533-position model. The record is from RNAcentral.